This 895-nucleotide long non-coding RNA is filed under the name Pan troglodytes (chimpanzee). Its description in RNAcentral is "long non-coding RNA NONPTRT005702". The record is from RNAcentral. Lineage: Eukaryota; Metazoa; Chordata; Mammalia; Primates; Hominidae.
UGGAGAGAAGGCCAUUCUGAGGUCAACUGAAACCUCACUUGAGGGGCAGUUCCGUAGAUAGGAAUGAGGAGAGAGUCAUGGCCACAGCCACCUGGCCAAGGAGAGAGGCCGUAACUGCCAGACAGAACCGAGGAUGGAGGGGCUUCAGCAGCACGAACAAUCCACACUCAGCAUGGGUCACUCUCUGGGACACACAUUUCCCUCUGGCUGAAAGGCUGAGCUGCUCCAGGGCCAACUGUGAGGUCAGACAGCUGCCCAGGGAUGUCUCCGGCCACUCAAGGGAAGAAGAGACCACUCACCCGUAAUUUCAACAGCAACAAAAGACCUGAGGUUCCACCAUCAGAACUUCACGCCCUAAGGAAGAUGCAGCAUUUCCUGUAAAAUGCAAGUGCUCCCAGGCAGAGGUAGCUCCUGAAGCCAUGAUCAGUUAUGUAUACCUUAGUGGCAGCUGAUUAAUAGACCCUUCCCAAGAGCCAGCUGACAGGAAGCACAUCGGGGUAAAAGAGAAGAUGAAAACUUGGGUGCCUGGAGGAAGGGAACAAAUGCGAGCAGGAGCAUGGUAAUAACAUAGGUAAAAUAGCAGACAUUUAUACAUUACACCUGUGUGCCAGGCACUGUUGUAAGUACUGGAUAGAUAGACAGAUAAGUGGAUAGAUAGAGAGCUAGAGCUAGAGAGAGAGAGAGAGAGUGAGAGAGAGAGAGAGAUUUAUUCUGGCAAUAGUACUAUGCCAUGGGUGUUGUUAUCAUCAGCAUUUUACAAAUCAGGAAACAGAGGCCCAGAAAGUUUACAUGUGCUGGUCUUUGCCCUCCAGACCCACCCUCCACCUUUCUCCUCCCUGCUCUGUGCCCUGAGGGCUGAUCUCUGCCCUGAGGGCUGAUCUCUGCCCUCAACUUU